AGAGUUUGAUCAUGGCUCAGGAUGAACGCUAGCUACAGGCUUAACACAUGCAAGUCGAGGGGCAGCGAAUGGUCUUUAGCUUGCUAAGGUCCGAUGGCGACCGGCGCACGGGUGAGUAACACGUAUCCAACCUGCCGUCUACUCUUGGACAGCCUUCUGAAAGGAAGAUUAAUACAAGAUGGCAUCAUGAGUCCGCACGUUCACAUGAUUAAAGGUAUUCCGGUAGACGAUGGGGAUGCGUUCCAUUAGAUAGUAGGCGGGGUAACGGCCCACCUAGUCUUCGAUGGAUAGGGGUUCUGAGAGGAAGGUCCCCCACAUUGGAACUGAGACACGGUCCAAACUCCUACGGGAGGCAGCA
RNAcentral lists this ribosomal RNA (358 nucleotides) under uncultured bacterium. RNAcentral's name for it is "bacterial SSU rRNA". It matches the Rfam family "Bacterial small subunit ribosomal RNA", at positions 8 to 353 of the family's 1533-position model. The record is from RNAcentral.